GUGUAGCAUAUCGUUUAGGCUUUGUCAAGAUAUUAUCACUCAGGGUAUAUGCCAAUAAAUAGUCAAUAAAAAGGAAUCGAUUAACACAAUUUGGCGCACAAAAUGAUCAUAUGAUAAGCACAUGACACACAUAAAGAUUAGACAUUGAUUAGGAAACUAGCUUAUGAAACAAUAUACAAAAACAAAAACAAUUAGAAUGAGCUACUAUGUGUUAUGUUGUGGUUAUAGUAGAUACAUAUUAGAGGCAAAUAUUGAGAAAGUGUACUUAAAGAAAACAAUGGCAAAAUUAUAACAACUAACCCAUUCCAAUACAAGCCCAAAUAGUAGAAAAUAACAUAUGCACAACUUCUUUAUUUUUUUUUCAUGAAAAAUAUCAGAAAACACAAGGAUAAAGUCAUAGUAAGAAAAAAAAAUAAUCAGCAAUUAUCUUACGCAUUGCGCGCUGCGGAGUGUACUCAUAUAUCAUCUAUGAUUUAGCCCAGGAGGGGGCAAAAUGUAUAAGAUGAUGGCUGUGUUUUUAUUUUAUUUUUUACUAUAUACUUGUGUUUCCUAAAGUGUUUUUAGUAGACUAACAAAGAUUAAA
Non-coding RNA from Pelobates cultripes (western spadefoot toad), 583 nucleotides. The record is from the annotation of a GenBank genome assembly. Lineage: Eukaryota; Metazoa; Chordata; Amphibia; Anura; Pelobatidae.